UUUUUUUUUUUUUUUUUUUUUUUUUUUGCUUUUUGGGCCCCCACUUGUGACACAUGGAGGUUCCCAGGUUAGGGGUCCAAUCGGAACUAAAACCGCAGGCCUAUGCCACAGCCACAGCAACAUCGGAUCUGAGCCAUGUCUGUGACCUACACCACAGCUCACAGCAACGCCAGAUCCUUAACCCACUGAGCAAGGCCAGGGAUCGAACCUGCAUCCUCAUGGUUCCUAGUUGGAUUCGUUUCCACUGCGCCAUGACGGGAACUCCUGCAUAUCUCCUCCUUCAUUAGGUUCUUCACCUUUCACUUUUAAAGUGAUUUGUCUCCCUUAGUUUCAGUUCCAUCUUUGGGUACCAACAAACAUUCACAUGUAAUAUCUAACAAAUAAACACUUUAGAAGACAAUGUUAGUACAACAAGAAGAGCCAUAUACAGGGAGAAAAUAUUUGUAAAUACACAUGUGAUAAAGGACAAUUAUCCAAAAUAUAAAGAACUCUUAAAAUUCAAUAAGAAAGCAUGAAGUAGAUUAAAAAGUAGUCCAAAAACUUUAACAGACACUUCAAUGGAGAAGAUAGACAGAUGGCAAAUAGGCUCAGGAAAAGUGGAGUGUCAUCAGGGAAAUGCAAAUUAAAAUAGCCGUAAGAUACCACUAUACAUGUUUUAGAAUGGCCAAAGUCCAGAACGCUGACAAAAUCAAAUGCUGGUUUGAAUGAUCUGAAGCAAGAGCAUUCUCAUACUCUGCCCAUAGGAAAGUAGAAUAGUACAGCAACUUUGGAAGACAGUUCGAUGGUGCCUUAAACAACUAAACACACUCUUGUCAUAUAUUCCAGCAAUAUUCCUUGGUACUUAUUUAAAGUAUUCAAAAACUUAUGCCCAUACCAAAAUCUGCACAUGAUAUUUGUAGCAAUUUUAAUUUUAAUUUUAAUUAAAAUUGCUAAACCUAGGAAACGACCAAAACGUCUUUCAGAAGGUGAAUAGAUAAAGAAAUGGUGGUCCAUCCAGACAACAGAAUAUUAUUUAGUGCUACAAUAAAUGAAAUAUUAAGCCAUGAAAAGGCAUAACUUUUAAUGCAUAUUAUAAGUGAAGGAAGUCAAUAUGAAAAGACUAUAUACUAUACAAUUCCAUAUAUGACAUUCUGGAAAAUUAAUGGAGAUGGUAAAACUACAGAGACAGGAGAAAGAUCAGUGAUAAGGAGAAGAGACAAAGGGUGAACAAGGGGAGCAUGAAGGAUUCUGAGGGCAGUGAAAUGUUUUGUAUGAUACCAUGAUGAUAUCCAUCACUGUGCCAAUAAUACUGUGAAUCUCACAAAAGAUACAAUACCAGAGAUUGAAGAAACUGUAAGAAUCUCCAAUGAAAAGAAACUCUGGCCACCUCCUUUAAAAAUUUUUUUUAAAAACCCCAAAAAUAAACAAACAAAAAUGCUGAAAACCAAGCAUAAAAGAAAAUCUUUAUAAGACGGCCAAAGGAAAGGAGUAUUACCUUUAAAGGAACUAGGUAAGACUGACGGCUGAUCCAUCUUCCUUUUUUUUUUUUUGCUUUUUAGGGCCACAUCUGUGGCACACAGCAGGUGGAGGUUCUCAGGCUGGGGUCUAAGAAGAGCUACGGCUGCCAGCCUAUACCACAGCCACAGCAAUGCCAAAUCCGAGCCACAUCUGUGACCUACACCACAGCUCACAGCAACGCCAGUGGCCUUAACCCACUGAGUGAGGCCAGGGAUCGAACCCGCAACCUCAUGGUUCCUAGUCGGAGUUGUUUCUGCUGUUUCAUGAUGGGCAUUCCAGAUCCACAUUCUUUAUAUAAGCAUCAGGGAUAGUAAAUACAAUGCUCAAUGUAUAAAAAGAAAACAAAAACAAAAACAAAAACAAAAAACAAAAAAAACAAGGGUGUUCAAUAACUGCCACAUUAUAUGUAUAUACAUAUAUUUACAUAUAAUACAUACAUCAUUAUUCCAACGUGAAAAGCAGACAAAGUUAGUCUAUGGUAACAAAAGUGAGACAAGAGGUUACUACAGGGUGGUGGCGAAGAGUGAUGUCUGGAAGGGACCAGAGGCAAGAUCUCAUACACCUGGAAAUAUUCUAUAAUUCAAUUUGUAUAAAAACAAAAAACUGGAUCAGUAAAUAUGUUAACUUCGUAAAAAUUCAUCAUGCUAUACAAUUAAGAACUGCGCACAUUAUGUGGGGUUUUUUGUUUUGUUUUGUUUUCGAAUUUCCUUUUUCACGUUAAGAUUUUAUUUUUAUAGCAUUAAUAGGUUCACAGCAAAAGUGAGGGGAUGGUACAGAGAUUUCCUAUAUAUGCCCCAACUAUUCAGCACAAUUCCCAAUCUUUCGAAAAGCCCAGGGGUAUAUAUACUAAUACUAUAAUUGAAUCCCUCUUGGUGGAAGAAAGAUCUAAGAAAAGGUUUUGCUCCUCAGGAUAAGGUUGACCCUGGUUCAAUUUCUAUUAUCAAAUACGUCUCUUUGUCUAGUAACCAAGAGUUUUAUAUCUUUCCUAUUAUUUCACUGGGAAAAUGGCUAUUUCUGAACAAUUUUAAAAAGGAGAAAUAAUACAAAAAGAAUGCUUUUCCUGCAUAGGAAAAAUAAAGUCUUUCUAAACAGAAUUCUCUGAAAAUUAGAUUUUAGGAAAAGAACUUGAUGAAGACCAUCGCAUGGUAUUUCCCACCCUCAAAAUUCACCUUUGAAAGGACUCUGAAUAUGGAUCCACACAACAUCACAAAACAUCAUAGUUUUAAAACUGCUAAACUGCAAGUCAGGUCACAUAUCCAUGCUUGCAGGCAGAAACGGAGGACAACGUUACAAAUUCAAAUUACAUUAUAAGUGGUGUUUAAAUUCCUAAAAUUAAUAACAUGUAGUUUCCAAAUACUCAGGCAUGUUUCUAUGCUUACUGGCAAGGUUUGGCAUUAUUCUUUUACUCAUCACCUUGCCAGAUAGGAAAUUUUUCAAACAUGACUGGGAUUUAUAAUAUUUUAAAUUCUACAUUUUAAGAGGGCUUUGAUUAUGCAAUAAAAUCCUGAUACAUUAAGAGAUUCACAAAACAGAGGAAGAGUUUAGUCUGUUUUUAAAUUUUAAUCACAAAUAAGUUACUUUACCCAACUUAUCUUUAAUCUUUUCACUAAUGAAAACCUGAGGAGAAGGUGAAUUUAUCUGCACAGGCAGAGGAUUCUGAUAUACCACUUGAGGAAAGUGAAGUAAACCAAGCUAAAAUUCACAUUUAAAGCACCACCUAAAUGUAAAAUCUUAUAGGAAUCCCUAUUACCUUAACUCUUCAUCUCAUGUCCUAUCAGGAGAGUCUGUUAGGAAUUCACCACCAUCUGGUAGAACAGUGGUUCCAUUACUUAUCUACUGAUUGGACCUCGACUACCUUCGCAAGAAACACCUGGGGAGCAUUUUCAAAACCUAGAUUCCUGGAUUCUAUUGAAGAAUAACUGCAUCGGAUUUCAGGUAGGUAAAAUAGCUCAAAAAAUCUCUAUUUCGA
RNAcentral lists this long non-coding RNA (3466 nucleotides) under Sus scrofa (pig). RNAcentral's name for it is "lncRNA (ENSSSCG00035026855.1)". Lineage: Eukaryota; Metazoa; Chordata; Mammalia; Artiodactyla; Suidae. The record is from RNAcentral.